GAUGAACGCUAGCGGCAGGCCUAAUACAUGCAAGUCGAACGAGAUUAAGAGGCUUGCUUCUUAUGAAAGUGGCGCACGGGUGCGUAACGCGUAUGCAACCUACCUUAAUCAGGGGGAUAGCCCGAAGAAAUUCGGAUUAAGACCGCAUAAAAACACAGGAUAGCAUUAUCCAAUGUUCAAAUAUUUAUAGGAUUAAGAUGGGCAUGCGUGUCAUUAGCUAGUUGGCGGGGUAACGGCCCACCAAGGCGACGAUGACUAGGGGAUCUGAGAGGAUGACCCCCCGCACUGGUACUGAGACACGGACCAGACUCCUACGGGAGGCAGCAGUAAGGAAUAUUGGUCAAUGGAGGGAACUCUGAACCAGCCAUGCCGCGUGCAGGAAGACAGCCCUCUGGGUCGUAAACUGCUUUUAGUCGGGAAUAAACCUUUCUACGUGUAGGAAGCUGAAUGUACCGAAGGAAUAAGGAUCGGCUAACUCCGUG
RNAcentral lists this ribosomal RNA (482 nucleotides) under uncultured bacterium. RNAcentral's name for it is "partial 16S ribosomal RNA". It matches the Rfam family "Bacterial small subunit ribosomal RNA", at positions 28 to 507 of the family's 1533-position model. The record is from RNAcentral.